CAGUGAUUUUCACUCCAGAAGCCAACCAUCAAAAGACAAAGCUGCACAGACGCACGUUUUAGGGCCACAACAGGUGGCAUCACAAAUAAAAAAACAGGGAACGAUGUUUCACUCUUUUAUUAAACAAGGGCUUUUAUUGUGAAAAGGGGUGACAGCGAAAGGAGUGGAUCUGGGUCAAGGGUCAAAGGAGUACAACACUGUUUGCUGUCUUGGCGUCUGCCACUGUCAUCCAGGGAAAAAGGACGCCGUUACCCUGACGACACCCGACAGGGGACAAUGUCUCACGGAGUUUGGCGUCCGCCCGUUCCCCCCCCCCCGAGUGGGAAACCCGAGACGCCGGCCCCUGAAACCCGAUCGCCCCGAAUCCCAGGAGGAGGGGUCGGAAAAGGUUGCCGGACGCAGCGCUCUCCGGCGCCCGGGAUGAGACGUCAGCGGGCCGUCUGCCAGACAGACGCGCGGCGACUCGGUGACCUCGCCGCGGGAACGUUUAGCAGCUUCUGCACUUGGAUAACAGAUCGAGCGGAGCCGACCUUGGACUUCCUCCCCCCCCCCCGGCGCUGUCCUUUCACUUCUUCAUUUAUUGGGUUUGACAGUCAUCGUCGCUGGAGCGACGCGUCGUCCCGGGUGGAUUAGUAGCAUUUUACAGUCACGUUCAUUUGUGUGCAUGCAAACAUAUCACCAUGUAAGCUCGCAAUGUUUUUCACGUUGACGCCUAAAACAUCAGGGAUGCAUUGUGGGCUGUUCACACUCUAAGUGGCUUUUAAUACAUCAGUAAUGCAGCUAAAUGACACCACCAUAAAAACACUAUGAUAAAUAAGCUGAAUGAUUCAAACUGUGUUUGAAACACGAUAAAAGCGGUGCGACAGAUGGAGCCGCGUGGAAGCCGACGAUCAGGCGACGGUGAGCUUCUCGCUUCUUUGGGCGGGAACGAGCAGAGGUUGUCCGCGGGAGGCGAUGCUGAUCUGACGAGAGUGUGGUUUCAAACCUGACGCGCUUCACUCCUCGGGGGCCUUCUUAACAAAAAAAAGCAGUGAAGGGAGUGGAGGCUGUCAGACGCUUUUCCAUCGCUCCUCACACCCAGCCGCUCGCCCCCUGUUUCUACCGGACGCCGGACUUUUGCUCUCUUCGGGUCCGGCGUCUCCCACAGACGGGCGGUUUUUCGGAGGGGGUUUGGACACCAAAAUAAAAAACUCCAGGAGGCCGGCAGCGCGGAGGCGAGGUAGUAAAGGGCUGUUGAAGUGCACAGAUGGGGGGGGGGGAUCUCUGUUUGUUGUCAUGGUAACAGGCAGUGUGGUCCGCACAACACGUCCCCGUAGAGCCCCGGAUCCAGCGCAGCCCCUCUCCUCCAUUUUGAACGUGGAGGCGCUGAUCGUGCCGCAAUUUUUUUUUACCGAUUCGUCGGCGCUCCGACAUCAUACGAGACGCACGCACACACACACACACACACACACACACCUACACACAUCAGCAGAGCUCAUAUGUAAGGCCGGGCUGUGGUAGAUCGGGGUGUGCAUGUGGGCUGCACAAAUGGCCGAUGAGUCACCGGAUUCUCUUUUCGUGGCGUGUGGGAUUUCAGUGCAGCCGCGCGUGAAGGACCCCUUGAAGCACCCGUUGGGUUGUUGGCUGUCGGUCCUCUCUGAGUGUGUCUCGUGGACUCGCCUCCUGCUGAAGGACGAGGGGAGUCAGAGACGGACAGACGUCGUCCCUUCAGCCCACUUCGCUGAUCGAGCUCUGCUGAAAACGCGACGUCGAAGAAUCGCCUCCCCGGGCUGCUCGACUCUCCUGACCUCCGGCCUCCACAGAUGCUGCUUCUGAACGGCCGUCCACUUUAGUGGGGGGGGGGACGAGACGGUUUUCACCCUCUGUCCUCUUCUAAUAACAAAGGUGUAGAACUAAUCGCCAGCUGCUGGAGAUAUUGGGACAGAACGCGCUUUAAGGACCACGUGGGUUUAACAGUGAGGCGUAACAGACCAGAUGGAGGCGAAGUUCCUAAAUGCAAAGUGCCUUUUUAUUUCGCAGUACACACGACGGCGGCGGCGGCGGCGUCAGUUGGGGAGCACGAGACCGCUGAGGCGCCUGUACAGCCGUUUAAUACGACCGCAGAAGGUACAACGAAGGCCCCAUAAUAAUAAUCGUUUAAGAAGCAACCUCUUAAUGGAGGAUACAAAAUAAUAUUAAACCUGUUCAAGAUUUUUGGUCUUUUGGUCCAAAUUCCAACGAGCAAAGUCAAAAGGAUUCAAAACUGACGUCGACCUGCUGACAGCAGAAAAGAUUGCCGGCUCCUGCAGGAAAUCACGCCAAGAAUUAGGAGUAACUUUUAAUAAACUACCACACAAACCGUGUGUGGGUUAAUUGCCGUUCGGCCAAAGCACACAGAGCGCCGCUGAUUCAUAUCCACCAAUAAGAACGGUGCAAUUCCUCCCUCUGAAAUCAGUACGGGCCUCAGGAAAGGUGCCGGUUGACAAACACUAUUGACCUUUAUUUUGAAAAAGGGCGGCUUUUCACCGCGCACACCUUGACCACCGCUCGCCCCCCGGGGUCCCUUUGGCCCCGUGACCCUCCUCGUCUAGACAAAAACCCAACAAAGAUACACAUCAAGUCCCUGCUGGCUGGGAGCUAAAAGUGAAUAAAUAAAAUAAGCAAGUGGUUUAUGGGCCCAUGUGAAGCGCACAGUCCUUUCGGUGACGCCUUUGUCUGUGGGAACAAGAUAUUUGUAAAUUGUAUUGAUUUAUAUAAAACAUGCUUUUUAGCACUUCCUGCUGGUUUGAAUUGUUCAGACGACUUAAUGACUCCCCCUAAAUGUGUUCAUUUACCUAUAAAGUGUUUAACAUUUGUAUUAGUUUUUAAUACCGGCGUAUUGUGACACCUGCGUGUGCGUCUUUUUGCAUGCACAUGUAACACUAAGAAAUAAACAUCAAGGCACAGAACCGGUCAAAUGUAAUCAUUUAAAACGCCGGUCCACUGAACUACUUGUUUUUACAUUUAUGCAGCAAACAACCUGCCGAGGCGGCCAAAAUGUUUUUUUUUCUCAGUGUGCAGUUUGUUUCAUCAAUGAUGAAGAGGAGUUAGCGAGGAGGCCGGUGGGAUUAGAGACUGAUGGAGGAGAGCUGGCACGCCGCACGCGGGCCGGAGGCGGCGGCCCGCCUUCUGUUCGCCUCAAUUGAUCAUCAGAGGAGACGGACUUGGCCGCAAGUCCAGGUCCCCAGACGGAGUGGACGUCUCCGCUGCUUUAGUGCACGGACCAUCUAAUGAGCUCUGGACCGGGUCUGCUUGUAAAAGUCCUAAAUGUGCUCAAAGCCUCAGCUUUCAACCUGGUGCCCACAAUCACAAACCCGAUGCUUCUUCUGGGAACGAGAGGACAUUUACACAAAAGAGUACCCAUUGAAAUACAAACCGAAUGGAGGUAAAACUCGUACAGUCGUUCACUGAGGCUUUAAGGGGAAAGUAUUUUGAACCUCACAGUCGUUUUUUCCAUCUCGUAUUGAGAAGCCAACGCCUGCACACCCGCUGAAUGACCACAGACGCUGUAAAAUGUUGCCUUUGAGUCAUUUCAUCGGAAAAUAGACGAAGAAGGGAAGUAAUGAAUAAAACAAAUAAAUCCAUCAUGAAGUCC
Molecule: non-coding RNA, 3613 nt
Organism: Gasterosteus aculeatus aculeatus (three-spined stickleback)
Lineage: Eukaryota; Metazoa; Chordata; Actinopteri; Perciformes; Gasterosteidae
Source: RefSeq, a predicted model, not a curated record